RNAcentral lists this small RNA (1220 nucleotides) under Oryza sativa Japonica Group (Japanese rice). RNAcentral's name for it is "sRNA Os01g0654650". The record is from RNAcentral. Lineage: Eukaryota; Viridiplantae; Streptophyta; Magnoliopsida; Poales; Poaceae.
CCGUGAAUAAGAAGAGCAAGGUCUUUGGUCAUCUUCCCAGAUUCCACGGUUCCAACGCAAGCAGCUUCAAGUUUUAGUGCAAAGUCAAGAAGUCUAGCAUUUAGGUAGGACUUGUACCUGUGUGCAAGUCCUCUGGUCCAAGCAAAGAUUGAAGCAAUGCUGUUUGUGCUGGUUUCACCUCCCUUCUGGUGAACACGGAAAUGACGGGUAACCGUGCCAUGGGCAGCUUCAGCUUCAAUUGUUUUUCCAUCAGGGCACACCUACAUAUUAAACAAAGUACAUAUUCGUACCUUGAGCUAAGAAAUCACUCUGCACAUCUCCAUCGUAAUUCUUGCAAGCCCACACAUAGCCCCCUUCACUCUUAAGUGCAUAAGCAACCAUGUCAUCGAUGAGACGAUGCUCAUACCUACCAGAAGUCAAGAUCAUGACACAUAUUUGAAUAAAUAGUAGGUGCAAAUGUGCAAAAAUGUACUACCUUCCAUCAUAUUUCUUCAGGAUUGUGUUUUUGGUGCUAAGAUAAAGCGGCCAUUUCUUCUCAUAAGCAGUUGUCAUAGAAGCUUCAGCAAAAGCUCGGAUUGACUAUAAAACAGUUACAGGAAUGGUCAGAAAAAUACAUUACUUUUCAACUAAAGAAAACUAAAUAUGGACCAAGCAACCAUACCAAAAACCAGCUUGAGCUUGCCAGGCCCCUUCAGAACUGCAUCAGUUGCUCGGUACUGAUCACCAAAAGCAUGCCUUCCAAUGCAAAUGGGCUUAGUCCAUCCUGCCAAUUUCUGUGUGUUAUAUCAAACUAAUGGUACCAGCAUACCAUUGAUAAUAUUCCUAAUUGUGCCAUUGGGGCUCUUCCACAUUUGCUUUAGGUUGAACUCCUUAACCCGAGCCUCAUCUGGAAUAGUCACGGACUUUAAAAUAUCUUAAAUUCCUUACUUGAGAGUAGCCUCUGCAGCCUCCACGGUGACCUUGUCAUCAGUUGCAUCACGGUGGAGAACUCCCAAGUCAUAGUACUUAAUGUCCAGAUCCAAAAAUGGAAAGAUAAGCUGAAAUAAACAAGAUUAGGGAAGCGGGGGAUCUAACCGUCCAUCUCGACGAUGGGGUUGGCGACCUUGAUCUUCUCGAACGCCAUGGCGGCGGCGGCAGCGGCCGGGUGCGGCGCUGCUUGCCUCGGAGAUCGGGAGCCGGUGGGAAGCAGCCGGCGGCGGAGGAGGAUGUGGGAAAGGAAG